RNAcentral lists this non-coding RNA (99 nucleotides) under bovine gut metagenome. The record is from RNAcentral.
CGUCAAGGGGUGCUACAAUACGUUGAUUUCAUUGACGUUGCGAGGCUGAGAUUAUACCCUAAGACCUGAUCCGGAUAAUACCGGCGGAGGAAACGACAA